This 699-nucleotide ribosomal RNA is filed under the name uncultured archaeon. Its description in RNAcentral is "bacterial SSU rRNA". It matches the Rfam family "Archaeal small subunit ribosomal RNA", at positions 142 to 841 of the family's 1478-position model. The record is from RNAcentral.
GGGGAUAAUACUGGAUAGGCAAUUUUUCCUGCAAUGGUUCUUUGUUUAAAUGUUUUUUCGCCUAAGGAUGGGUCUGCGGCCGAUUAGGUAGUUGGUUAGGUAACGGCUUACCAAGCCAUUGAUCGGUACGGGUUGUGAGAGCAAGAGCCCGGAGAUGGAACCUGAGACAAGGUUCCAGGCCCUACGGGGUGCAGCAGGCGCGAAACCUCCGCAAUGUGAGAAAUCGCGACGGGGGGAUCCCAAGUGCCAUUCUUAACGGGAUGGCUUUUCAUUAGUGUAAAGAGCUUUUGGAAUAAGAGCUGGGCAAGACCGGUGCCAGCCGCCGCGGUAACACCGGCAGCUCUAGUGGUAGCAAUUUUUAUUGGGCCUAAAGCGUCCGUAGCCGGUUUAAUAAGUCUCUGGUGAAAUCCUGCAGCUUAACUGUGGGAAUUGCUGGAGAUACUAUUAGACUUGAGACCGGGAGAGGUUAGAGGUACUCCCAGGGUAGAGGUGAAAUUCUGUAAUCCUGGGAGGACCGCCUGUUGCGAAGGCGUCUAACUGGAACGGUUCUGACGGUGAGGGACGAAAGUUAGGGGCGCGAACCGGAUUAGAUACCCGGGUAGUCCUAACUGUAAACGAUGCGGACUUGGUGUUGGGGUGGCUUUGAGCUGUCCCAGUGCCGAAGGGAAGCUGUUAAGUCCGCCGCCUGGGAAGUACGGU